AGUGAACGCUGGCGGUAGGCCUAACACAUGCAAGUCGAACGGCAGCACAGUAAGAGCUUGCUCUUACGGGUGGCGAGUGGCGGACGGGUGAGGAAUACAUCGGAAUCUACUUUUUCGUGGGGGAUAACGUAGGGAAACUUACGCUAAUACCGCAUCCGACCUACGGGUGAAAGCAGGGGAUCUUCGGACCUUGCGCGAUUGAAUGAGCCGCUGUCGGAUUAGCUAGUUGGCGGGGUAAAGGCCCACCAAGGCGACGAUCCGUAGCUGGUCUGAGUGGAUGAGCAGCCACACUGGAACGGAGACACGGUCCAGAGGCCUACGGGAGGCAGCAGUGGGGAAUAUUGGAGAAUGGGCGCAAACCUGAGCCAGCCGUACCGCGUGGGUGAAGAAGGCCUUCGGGUUGUAAAGCCCUUUUGUUGGGAUAGAAAAGCAGCAGGUUAAUACCCCGCUGUUCUGACGGUACCCAAAGAAUAAGCACCGGCUAACUUCGUG
RNAcentral lists this ribosomal RNA (492 nucleotides) under uncultured bacterium. RNAcentral describes it as "partial 16S ribosomal RNA". It matches the Rfam family "Bacterial small subunit ribosomal RNA", at positions 29 to 507 of the family's 1533-position model. The record is from RNAcentral.